Molecule: ribosomal RNA, 1540 nt
Filed under: Staphylococcus aureus KINW6019
Lineage: Bacteria; Bacillati; Bacillota; Bacilli; Caryophanales; Staphylococcaceae
Description: 16S ribosomal RNA
Rfam family: Bacterial small subunit ribosomal RNA
Source: RNAcentral
AGAGUUUGAUCCUGGCUCAGGAUGAACGCUGGCGGCGUGCCUAAUACAUGCAAGUCGAGCGAACGGACGAGAAGCUUGCUUCUCUGAUGUUAGCGGCGGACGGGUGAGUAACACGUGGAUAACCUACCUAUAAGACUGGGAUAACUUCGGGAAACCGGAGCUAAUACCGGAUAAUAUUUUGAACCGCAUGGUUCAAAAGUGAAAGACGGUCUUGCUGUCACUUAUAGAUGGAUCCGCGCUGCAUUAGCUAGUUGGUAAGGUAACGGCUUACCAAGGCAACGAUGCAUAGCCGACCUGAGAGGGUGAUCGGCCACACUGGAACUGAGACACGGUCCAGACUCCUACGGGAGGCAGCAGUAGGGAAUCUUCCGCAAUGGGCGAAAGCCUGACGGAGCAACGCCGCGUGAGUGAUGAAGGUCUUCGGAUCGCAAAACUCUGUUAUUAGGGAAGAACAUAUGUGUAAGUAACUGUGCACAUCUUGACGGUACCUAAUCAGAAAGCCACGGCUAACUACGUGCCAGCAGCCGCGGUAAUACGUAGGUGGCAAGCGUUAUCCGGAAUUAUUGGGCGUAAAGCGCGCGUAGGCGGUUUUUUAAGUCUGAUGUGAAAGCCCACGGCUCAACCGUGGAGGGUCAUUGGAAACUGGAAAACUUGAGUGCAGAAGAGGAAAGUGGAAUUCCAUGUGUAGCGGUGAAAUGCGCAGAGAUAUGGAGGAACACCAGUGGCGAAGGCGACUUUCUGGUCUGUAACUGACGCUGAUGUGCGAAAGCGUGGGGAUCAAACAGGAUUAGAUACCCUGGUAGUCCACGCCGUAAACGAUGAGUGCUAAGUGUUAGGGGGUUUCCGCCCCUUAGUGCUGCAGCUAACGCAUUAAGCACUCCGCCUGGGGAGUACGACCGCAAGGUUGAAACUCAAAGGAAUUGACGGGGACCCGCACAAGCGGUGGAGCAUGUGGUUUAAUUCGAAGCAACGCGAAGAACCUUACCAAAUCUUGACAUCCUUUGACAACUCUAGAGAUAGAGCCUUCCUCUUCGGGGGACAAAGUGACAGGUGGUGCAUGGUUGUCGUCAGCUCGUGUCGUGAGAUGUUGGGUUAAGUCCCGCAACGAGCGCAACCCUUAAGCUUAGUUGCCAUCAUUAAGUUGGGCACUCUAAGUUGACUGCCGGUGACAAACCGGAGGAAGGUGGGGAUGACGUCAAAUCAUCAUGCCCCUUAUGAUUUGGGCUACACACGUGCUACAAUGGACAAUACAAAGGGCAGCGAAACCGCGAGGUCAAGCAAAUCCCAUAAAGUUGUUCUCAGUUCGGAUUGUAGUCUGCAACUCGACUACAUGAAGCUGGAAUCGCUAGUAAUCGUAGAUCAGCAUGCUACGGUGAAUACGUUCCCGGGUCUUGUACACACCGCCCGUCACACCACGAGAGUUUGUAACACCCGAAGCCGGUGGAGUAACCUUUUAGGAGCUAGCCGUCGAAGGUGGGACAAAUGAUUGGGGUGAAGUCGUAACAAGGUAGCCGUAUCGGAAGGUGCGGCUGGAUCACCU